UAAUACAUAGGGGGCAAGCGUUAUCCGGAAUUAUUGGGCGUAAAGGGUGAGUAGGCGGUAUGUAAAGUUUGAGGUUUAAUCAGGGUGCUCAACGCUCUGUCGCUUCAAAAACUGGCAUACUAGAGUUAGGGAGAGGCAAGUGGAAUUCCAUGUGUAGCGGUAAAAUGCGUAAAUAUAUGGAGGAACACCAGUGGCGAAGGCGGCUUGCUGGUCCUAUACUGACGCUGAGGCACGAAAGCGUGGGGAGCAAACCGG
Molecule: ribosomal RNA, 255 nt
Filed under: uncultured archaeon
Lineage: Archaea
Description: partial 16S ribosomal RNA
Rfam family: Bacterial small subunit ribosomal RNA
Source: RNAcentral